RNAcentral lists this ribosomal RNA (253 nucleotides) under uncultured bacterium. RNAcentral describes it as "partial 16S ribosomal RNA". It matches the Rfam family "Bacterial small subunit ribosomal RNA", at positions 524 to 776 of the family's 1533-position model. The record is from RNAcentral.
UACAGAGGGUGCAAACGUUGCUCGGAAUUACUGGGCGUAAAGCGCGUGUAGGCGGUUCGUUAAGUCGUCUGUGAAAGCCCAUGGCUCAACCAUGGAAGUGCAGCCGAUACUGGCAAACUUGAGUCCUGGAGAGGGUGGCGGAAUUCCCAGUGUAGAGGUGAAAUUCGUAGAUAUUGGGAGGAACACCGGUGGCGAAGGCGGCCACCUGGACAGGUACUGACGCUGAGACGCGAAAGCGCGGGUAGCAAACAGG